RNAcentral lists this ribosomal RNA (468 nucleotides) under uncultured bacterium. Its description in RNAcentral is "partial 16S ribosomal RNA". It matches the Rfam family "Bacterial small subunit ribosomal RNA", at positions 28 to 507 of the family's 1533-position model. The record is from RNAcentral.
GACGAACGCUGGCGGCGUGCUUAACACAUGCAAGUCGAACGGAAGGGCCCUGCUUUUGUGGGGUGCUCGAGUGGCGAACGGGUGAGUAACACGUGAGUAACCUGCCCUUGACUUUGGGAUAACUUCAGGAAACUGGGGCUAAUACCGGAUAGGAGCUCCUGCUGCAUGGUGGGGGUUGGAAAGUUUCGGCGGUUGGGGAUGGACUCGCGGCUUAUCAGCUUGUUGGUGGGGUAGUGGCUUACCAAGGCUUUGACGGGUAGCCGGCCUGAGAGGGUGACCGGCCACAUUGGGACUGAGAUACGGCCCAGACUCCUACGGGAGGCAGCAGUGGGGAAUAUUGCACAAUGGGCGGAAGCCUGAUGCAGCAACGCCGCGGGCGGGAUGACGGCCUUCGAGUUGUAAACCGCUUUCGCCUGAGACGAAGCGUGAGUGACGGUAAUGGGUAAAGAAGCACCGGCUAACUACGUG